GAUUUACACUCCAUCUGGGUGUAUGAUAUGUUGUUGGGAACAGACCAUUUAUUUCAAGGACUGAAAACUGCAAAACCAAUGAAGAGGAACAGAACAUAGUAAUUAUAUAGCAAACCAAAAAAAAACAGAAGUCAAAUGGUGCUCUCUCUGUGUGUUUGCCUUUGGUCACCAUGACUGAUCUACCCCCCAAAUGUAUAGACUGUAGCAUUUGUCUACCUGCUGUCUCUACUUCAGGACAGAUGUUCAGGAACGAUCUUGAUUCAACUUAGACUGUAGGCAUGUUCGAAUGGAAGUGGUGUUUAGUAUGACAGAGGGAAUCUAAGGUUACAUUUUAAGUCUCAGAUGGAAAUGAGCCAUAUAGAUGAAUCGUGUCCACAGACGUCCUCUCCAUAGCCAGGUUUCUCGGGGAUGGUGUAGAGCAUCUCUGUGUGACCUUACUCUUCUCACGAAGGCCUUUUCCACAGUCCCUGUUUUCACAAUAUGUUUACACAGGCCCUAGAGAAGGUAGAUUUGGAUGCUGGAAACGGUUGUACAUUACCGUUGAGUUAUUGCUUUAGGAAUGGGGUACCCAAAGAGGUACAGUCAGGAAAAUGGUCCCUCAGCCCGGAUCAGUAUCCAUGGGAGAAGAAACAGCGUUGUGUCACUGUUCCUUUAGUUGGCCUCCAUAGGAGCUUCCCCUGACCACUCAUGCUGCAAAUGCGUGAUGCUAGAGGCAAGCAUAACCACAGGCAUGCCAUGCCUUUAGCUUGUUUACAAGUCAGCCCAGGUCUCAGGAGUGCUUACUGUCGGUCCAGGCAAUGAGCAGGAGGAAGCCCUGUGAUGCUACCAGAGGUUAGUAAAUUCAAACUCUCACUUUGUGCUUUGCCUAGAGACGUUCACCAAUUAAAUUCCAGCCCCGAAGAACUGAAACACGUUAUUCGUGGAGCUAGCUGAAACCCAAAGACAAAAUACCCUAUUUCGCAAAGCAGAUGUCUUAAAGACAUGCUGAGUUCAUUCAAAGAUUACAAAACUCCAAACUCCUUAGCUUGGUAAACAAGCAAUUUGGUCCUUCUUGCCUUCGUUGGGGGGUGACAUCAAGUGUGCCCAUCCUGGUAUUUACUUGCCAACCACCUUUUACCAUGUUCAGAAUCUUUGGGAGAUUCAGGUUCUACACAGAAAGGAAUUUUUGAUUUGACUUUUCUUUUGUUUAAAAAAACAAAACUCCUUUAUUCUAAGAAAAAAUGUCAGCAUGUCUUGCUUUUAUUUUAAAGCUAUAGAGAUGUAUAAGAUGCACAAUAAAUCCUAGAAAUAUUUCAUGAGGGGAAGAUCCUGAUGUUUCUGCUUUUAAAAGUAGAAUUUACAUAGGAGAUAAAGGAAAUCUGUCUACCAAAAUGUGCCUAGGUUUUCCCAAACAAGCAUGAACUUAUAAGUACUAUGAACUCAAAAGAGUUGGCUAUAUUCAGAUUUACUGAGCACUAAAUUUAGACCUAUUUUGUGGCAUGAAUAAGCUGAUUCUAUGUAACAUUUCUUGAAGUGGAGUAGAGGAGAAGAUUUGUAUCCUUUUGUUGCUAUGCAACUGUUUAAUGAUGACGCUUCAAACCACAAUUCUAUAUAUCAUAUGACAAUCAAUUGUUUUCCAAGAAUAUUUAUUUUGAGUAGACACAGUCUCAGUGAAUCUGAGUUUUCACGGAGUCCCUUAAAGGGGGACUAGCACUCCAUGAGCCAGUACGAUACCUUCUCUGGAAAGUCACUAUUAUGGUUAAAAAAAUAAAUUCAACUUAGUUUUUUAUAAAGAACUCUAACAUUUAUUUUUAAGCCUUUUUUAUAAUAACUGAAGCCAUUAAGGUGAGCGGACUGAAUCUCAAAACCACUUGUUCUAAUGUAUUAAGACAGUGCUGUGAUGCUGCCCCAUGCAGCUUCUUUUGUAUUAAAAGAUCACCUUUUCCACAAGCUGAACAAAAAUCUCUUUCGCUUUGUUGACAAUGUUUUUUUGUAAGGUGAGUUUAUUGUCAGUUUUUUUUUUCUCUGCACAAAACUGUUAAUGGUUUGUAUCACGGAAGUGAAAAUAUAUCUGCAUUUUUAUACC
Molecule: long non-coding RNA, 2065 nt
Filed under: Mus musculus (house mouse)
Lineage: Eukaryota; Metazoa; Chordata; Mammalia; Rodentia; Muridae
Description: long non-coding RNA chr4:100442429-100444494
Source: RNAcentral